GACGAACGCUGGCGGCGUACUUAACACAUGCAAGUCGAACGGAAAGGCCCUGCUUGCAGGGUACUCGAGUGGCGAACGGGUGAGUAACACGUGGGUGAUCUGCCCUGCACUUCGGGAUAAGCCUGGGAAACUGGGUCUAAUACCGGAUAGGAGCCAUUUUUAGUGUGAUGGUUGGAAAGUUUUUUCGGUGUAGGAUGAGCUCGCGGCCUAUCAGCUUGUUGGUGGGGUAAUGGCCUACCAAGGCGGCGACGGGUAGCCGGCCUGAGAGGGUGGACGGCCACAUUGGGACUGAGAUACGGCCCAGACUCCUACGGGAGGCAGCAGUGGGGAAUAUUGCACAAUGGGCGCAAGCCUGAUGCAGCGACGCCGCGUGGGGGAUGACGGCCUUCGGGUUGUAAACUCCUUUCGCUAGGGACGAAGCUUUUUGUGACGGUACCUAGAGAAGAAGCACCGGCUAACUACGUG
This 465-nucleotide ribosomal RNA is filed under the name uncultured bacterium. RNAcentral describes it as "partial 16S ribosomal RNA". It matches the Rfam family "Bacterial small subunit ribosomal RNA", at positions 28 to 507 of the family's 1533-position model. The record is from RNAcentral.